UACGUAGGGCGCAAGCGUUGUCCGGAAUUAUUGGGCGUAAAGAGCUCGUAGGCGGUCUGUCGCGUCUGCCGUGAAAACCCGAGGCUUAACCUCGGGCUGGCGGUGGAUACGGGCAGACUAGAGGUAGGUAGGGGAGAAUGGAAUUCCCGGUGUAGCGGUGAAAUGCGCAGAUAUCAGGAGGAACACCGGUGGCGAAGGCGGGUCUCUGGGCCGAUAUUGACGCUGAGGAGCGAAAGCGUGGGGAGCGAACAGG
RNAcentral lists this ribosomal RNA (253 nucleotides) under uncultured bacterium. Its description in RNAcentral is "partial 16S ribosomal RNA". It matches the Rfam family "Bacterial small subunit ribosomal RNA", at positions 524 to 776 of the family's 1533-position model. The record is from RNAcentral.